CGUCAUUACAGAGAGAUAUUAGCCCUCUGCGUUUCUUCCCAACUGAAAGUGCUUUACAACCCUAGGGCCUUCUUCACACACGCGGCAUUGCUGCAUCAGGGUUUCCCCCAUUGUGCAAUAUUCCCCA
Molecule: ribosomal RNA, 127 nt
Filed under: uncultured bacterium
Lineage: Bacteria
Description: partial 16S ribosomal RNA
Source: RNAcentral